RNAcentral lists this long non-coding RNA (199 nucleotides) under Elaeis guineensis (African oil palm). Its description in RNAcentral is "long non-coding RNA (EGUI_LNC037166)". Lineage: Eukaryota; Viridiplantae; Streptophyta; Magnoliopsida; Arecales; Arecaceae. The record is from RNAcentral.
CCGGACUCCGUCUCCAACUCCAACUGCAGACAAACUUCGUCCGGACUCCUACGGGAGCCGGACUUCGUCCCCAACUUCGGCUGUAGGCAAACUUCGUCCGGACUCCUACGGGAGCUGGACUCUGUCUCCAACUUCGGCUGCAGGCAGACUUCGUCCGGACUCCACGGGAGCCGAACUCCGUCUCCAACUCCAACUGCAG